RNAcentral lists this ribosomal RNA (443 nucleotides) under uncultured bacterium. Its description in RNAcentral is "partial 16S ribosomal RNA". It matches the Rfam family "Bacterial small subunit ribosomal RNA", at positions 338 to 795 of the family's 1533-position model. The record is from RNAcentral.
CCUACGGGUGGCUGCAGUGGGGAAUAUUGGGCAAUGGGCGCAAGCCUGACCCAGCAACGCCGCGUGAAGGAAGAAGGCUUUCGGGUUGUAAAAUUCUUUUCUCAGGGACGAAGCAAGUGACGGUACCUGAGCAAUAAGCCAAGGCUAACUACGUGCCAGCAGCCGCGGUAAUACGUAGGUGGCAAGCGUUAUCCGGAUUUACUGGGUGUAAAGGGCGUGUAGGCGGGAAAGCAAGUCAGAUGUGAAAACCAUGGGCUCAACCUGUAGACUGCAUUUGACACUGGUUUUCUUGAGUACUGGAGAGGCAGGCGGAAUUCCUAGUGUAGCGGUGAAAUGCGUAGAUAUUAGGAGGAACACCAGUGGCGAAGGCGGUCUGCUGGACUGCAACUGACGCUGAGGCGCGAAAGCGUGGGGAGCAAACAGGAUUAGAUACCCGGGUAGUC